GCGCCGCUGGCUCAACUAGGAAGAGCAACGGACUCUUAAUCCGUGGGUUCUGGGUUCGAUUCCCAGGCGGCGUA
Molecule: transfer RNA, 74 nt
Filed under: Caldifarciminota bacterium JGI_Cruoil_03_44_89
Lineage: Bacteria; Pseudomonadati; Caldifarciminota
Description: tRNA-Lys
Rfam family: tRNA
About the family: Transfer RNA (tRNA) molecules are approximately 80 nucleotides in length.
Source: RNAcentral